Mirounga angustirostris (Northern elephant seal) is the source of this 4827-nucleotide long non-coding RNA. RefSeq lists it as uncharacterized. Lineage: Eukaryota; Metazoa; Chordata; Mammalia; Carnivora; Phocidae. The transcript is spliced from 5 exons. The record is from RefSeq and is a predicted model, not a curated record.
UCCUAUCCUUUUCCCUCCAUCUCCCCUCAGAUGCUGGGCCUUUUCUUCUCCCCGACUCCCACCUCAACUCUCAUCAAAACUUACCUGCCACUUUCCCAGUCAGCCAGGUUCAGGUCUUUCCUGCAGUGUUUUGAGGACAAUGCGAAAGGUAGCUACAUUCAUGACUCACAAGAAAGCCUGUGAAAGUCCUCUCUUCUCAUCUCUCUAGGUAUGAUCUGCACAAGGCACCUGCUCCAAAUUGCCCCUUCUCCCACACUAAUCCCCACAAAGCCCUCACAGAGCAACGUCCGUCCCCAAGUCUUCUUGGGUCUCUUUCCCCUCCUUAGCCAUGACUUCUUUGAAAUCCCAAGCUCUUCUCUUAUCUGGAUUUGACACAACAAAGAAACUCAGAAAGCGACUCUACACCUUAGAGAUUGCAAACACUUCCCAUAUUCAACCCCUUAUCUCCCUUUUUUCUUUCACAUUCAAAGGCACUCAUCCAUGCAUCCCUCAAAAUUGCCUGUAAGGGUUCCACUUAAAUGCAAAGCUCUACGGGGCGGGCUAAAAGGGCGUUACGGUAAUCAUUACUGCUUUUAGAGAAUUACAAAUUAAUUGGAGAAAAAAAUUCCAAUAGGAUGUUUGGGCUUUGUAGAAUGUCUGUGCCUGGCACGUAGCGGAUGCUUGGGAAACAUCCGUCUACUGGUGUAGGAAGUAGCAUUGGCACCGGGAAAUCGUCCCUAAUGAGCUCGCCAAGCAUUAUAUGGGCGCCCGCGGUGUGCCAGGCCGACUCCGCGCACAGUGGUGGUAGGCUCAAGGGGCAUUCCGAGGACCCGGCAUCACAGGGAGGCUGCGAUCCUGCUUCCACGGCCUUGUCGGCUCCUUCAUCUUAGUGAUGACAAACGUGCACGAUCGCAGGCAGGCGCGGAUCGGCGGGGAAGGGCCCGCCUCCCGGGGCAGGGGGCUCGCCCAGGGGACCACGCCGCUCCAGGACGGCGGGGGCCAGCCCGGGAGGACGAGCCCGCCCGCGGAGCCGCAGAGCAGCCCAGCAGCUGGCGCUCGGGCGCGCUCGGGAUCCCUGCUCAUAAUUUAAGUCAGAAACUCGGAUUAUGUUGAAGAAAGUCACGUGAGAUGGUCACGGGGGCUGACAUCAGUGCACAAUGGGGCGUGAACAUUGUUGGCAGAGACCAUAAAAAGGAUGGUGGCCUUAUUGGGAUGGAUCCUAUUAUCUCUUAACAGCUGCCCGGGAGGUUGCUGUGGCAUCAUCUCUGCUCUCUUCCUUUAUGUCAUCAGGAAGGUCAUGGAGGAAACAAGUUCGUGUCACGCGCUGUGUCCUUGGGAACGCCCGGUACUCAUCAGAAAGGCCCAGUCCUUCACCCUGCACCAUGAGUGACACCAAAGCACAGACAGGAGUCAGAGGAAAUGAGGAAAACGGUCCUUGGCACCUUUUAAAGACACAGGCAUGAAGCAUUUUCACAAUCUGAUACAAUGAACUUUCCAAGCCCGUUGAACCCCCCUGGAUGCUUCCACUCUCUAUGACUGCCACGUUUUGAUAUGACUGCCACAGUUUUGACUGAGUGAAGCUUUCAGCCUUCUUUAGCUCUGUACUUUGACAACUGCGAAUUAUGGAAAAGCAUUUUCAUUGUAUAAUUAAUGGAGAAUAAAAGUAGAUUAUAAAAAUGUGCAUAUUAUAAUUCCAAUUUGAUUAAAAAGACUACUGAAGGAAUGAAGAAUUAUAUUCCUCUGCAAUGAUAAAGAGCAAAAGAUUAAUUAGAAUUUUUUCCUCAAUGGUGCAAUUAUGAGUGAUUGAAGUUUUCUUCCUCAUCCUUUUCUGUGUUUUGCAAAUUUUCGAAAAUGACUUGUGUAUUGUCAUCAGAAAUAGUGUGAAAAAACUUUAUGUUAAGCCCCAGAUUUGGGCUUUUGAUUUGCAAGAUAUCAGCAAGUAAUUUGGAAUGGUUCCCAUCUCUAACCACCUUGAGCCCUAAGGCAAUGAGAGUCAUUAUUUAUCAUCCAUCAUUCAUUCAUUCCGUUACAUCUACAACAAACAUUUUUUAUUCAGUUACUAGGUGCUAGGCUCUGUGUUAGAUGUUGGAUAUAAAGAUGAACAAAACAGCCAUCCCUUUCCUUUGGAAAGACCCCUCUAUAAUUAGUUAUCUGGGUCCGUUCACUGAGUUGAAUGGGUCAGUCAAGGGGAGUGCUUAAGAUUUCAGCCAGGAAGUAGGCCUUGAAAGAGAAGGAGAAUUGUACUGCUCUUGGUUCUCAAAGGUGAACCCAUUCCAAUGACAAAUGUCAUUCUGCGUGAUCAUACGGUGCUUCCAUCAGUUACUGCAAAAACAACGAAGAGCCUUUAGAGCGCUUUAGGGCCUUGGAAACUGCUGUUCUAUCAGUGUGCUUGCUGACUCUGUUCUUCCAGAGAGUUUGUAAAGUUAAUGUUUACUUUAUGAUAAUUGUAGAUUCCUACGCAGUUGUGAGAAAUAAAACAAAGAGGUUCCAUGUGCCCCUGAUCCAAUUUCUCCUAAUGGUACCAUCUUGCAGAACUAUAGUACAGAUCACACAUUUUGGAGAGUUUAUUUUUUUUAAAGAUUUUAUUUAUUUAUUUGACCGAUGUGGGGCUCGAUCCCAGGACCCUGGGACCAUGACCUGAGCCGAAGGCAGCCGCUUAACGACUGAGCCACCCAGGCGCCCCUUGGAGAGUUUAAUAGUAGAAAAAGGGAAAAGAGACAGCAUGGAGUCCUCAUCAAACUUUGAACAUAGCAGUCAACGCUCCCUUUCUUAGCAGGAUUCUGCAACACUGGCCCUUUCUCUCACACUGUUUAAUAAAGGCCUCCCUCAAGAUAGGUUUCUCUUUACAUCUUAAAAUAUUUAACUAUUUCUUUAAAGGGUGAUGCGGCAAUCACCCUAAAUCUGGAUUAUUUUCUUGGAUGAAGUUAACAUAUAAAUGUGAAAGAACAUCAGGUUGUGGGGACUCCGGACAGAAUAACUUCACCUGUAAACAUUAAGUCUGUUUGUAGGAAGAAAACUGACGGAAGGAACAUUCCUGAAGGGGCUCAUCCAGCUGUGCACAGUCUCAAAGGAGCCCUGACAGUGGCAACCAGAAGUGAAUGCCGUCUCCAGUGACAACCAGCGAUGGGCCACACCAAGGAGGCUUCUCUUUCUUCUGCAAGAAGACGAACAGCCACACUCAGAAACUCUAUAAAGAGUUCAGUUCAAGGGAAAAGUCUUGGAGGGGAAGAGAGGGAAAGUGUUUCCAGGAGGAGCCCAAGCCACCUCCCAAUUCAGAAGGAAGUAAAGGAGCUCCCUGGGUCUUUCAGAUCGAUGGAAAAGCAAGUAAGGCAGGAGGCCACGUGGAUGUUUACCUGAAGUUUAUCCUUAAAGGCACAGUGCUUCCUUGUUCUCAUACAUGAAUUCCUUUAAUAAAUAGUACUGAGCACUUGCUAUCUGUCCAUCCCUCACUGUUGAGCUGGCAGAGAGAUGAGAAUUUUUUUUAAAGAUUUUAUUUAUUUAUUUGAGAGAGAGAAAGUGAGAAAAGGAGAGCGAGAAUACGCACAAGCCAGAGGAGGGGCAGAGAAGCAGACCCCCGCUGAGCAGGGAGCCUGAAGCAGGACUCAAUCCCAGAACCCUGGGAUCAUGACCUGAACCUAAGGCAGAUGCUGAACAGACUGAGCCACCCAGGGGCCCCAGAGAGAUGGGAGUUAAGAGUGACUUUUAAAUAUGAGAUGCUUGAGGCAAAGAUGAGAGGAAAAAAAGUGUCCCUAUAAGGAAAUAGAUUUCUCAUAUUUUACUCUCCUGAUCGCCUAGUGUCAGGAAAGAGCACCGCACUAUGAAUCAGGAGACUGAGGCUUCGUGGCUGACUAGAUGGGUAGGCCUUGGUUUUCUCAAUUGAGAGUCCUGGUCUAAAUGAUUUUUAAACUUCUUCUCCAGAUCUGUAGUUUGUGGGGUGAUGCGGUUCAGAGACCAUGGGUAACUCUCACUGUGGACUGAAAGGAGAACCCGGUACCGCCUGACACAGGCUAGCCUUCACAGAAGUGGGCUUCCCUCCAUCCCAUCUGGAAUUUUCCAUGAGAUUAAGCAGAGUUCAGUGUAUCACUAAAAAUAAGCUAGGGCUUAGAUGACUUCUCUUCAGUGUCUCCUCUUCAUCCACGUGACUCAUACCGUCUCUCCUUCUAAACCCAGCAGCCUGAGAAUGUGGUGAGUGUGACCUCGUUGCGAAAAGUGCAUGAGCUUAUGAGCUCUGAUGCCCAGGUUUACCACUUAUCAUAUGUAAUGGGCUGAAUUGUGUCCCCUGUCAUCAAAUUUAUAUGUUGAAGCCCUAACCCCAGUACCUCAGUGUACAACCCUAUUUGAGAAUAAGGCCAUUGCAGAUCUAAUUAGAGGUAAGAUGAAGUUGUGCUGGACCAGCGUGGGCCCCGAAACCAAUGCACUGCUAUCCUUAUAAGUAGGGGGGAUUUGAAUACAUACGGGCACACGAGGGGAAGGCCAUGUGAAGAUGGGGUGUUGUGUUACCACAAGCCAAGGAACCCACCAGAAGCUGAGAGAGAGUCCUGGAAUAGACUCUUACCUACUAUUUUUAGAGGGAGCCUGGCCCUGUCAGCACCCCGACCUCCAACUUCCAGCCUCCAGAACUGGGAGAGAAUCAAUGCCUAUUGGUUCAAGUCAUUCCGUUUGUGGUACGUUGUGUGAAAGCAGUCAAAUGAGGAGGAGGCCAUUGGUCUGAGGUGGUUCUAAUGCGCUCGUCGUCUACAUAAGCAAACCAAAACCUAAGCCAGCGUGAACUCAUGGAAGAGGAUGCAACCACAGAAGCUAGAGCCAAUCAAAUAGUUUCCUUGCUUUGCUUCCCCACUCUCUGAGGAA